CGGAGUGCUUGCACUCUGUGAAACAGAUACAGGCUAGCGGCGGACGGGUGAGUAACACGUGGGUAACCUGCCCAAGAGAUCGGGAUAACACCUGGAAACAGAUGCUAAUACCGGAUAACAACAGAUGAUGCCUAUCAACUGUUUAAAAGAUGGUUCUGCUAUCACUCUUGGAUGGACCUGCGGUGCAUUAGCUAGUUGGUAGGGUAACGGCCUACCAAGGCGAUGAUGCAUAGCCGAGUUGAGAGACUGAUCGGCCACAUUGGGACUGAGACACGGCCCAAACUCCUACGGGAGGCAGCAGUAGGGAAUCUUCCACAAUGGACGCAAGUCUGAUGGAGCAACGCCGCGUGAGUGAAGAAGGGUUUCGGCUCGUAAAGCUCUGUUGUUGGUGAAGAAGGACAGGGGUAGUAACUGACCUUUGUUUGACGGUAAUCAAUUAGAAAGUCACGGCUAACUACGUGCCAGCAGCCGCGGUAAUACGUAGGUGGCAAGCGUUGUCCGGAUUUAUUGGGCGUAAAGCGAGUGCAGGCGGCUCGAUAAGUCUGAUGUGAAAGCCUUCGGCUCAACCGGAGAAUUGCAUCAGAAACUGUCGAGCUUGAGUA
Molecule: ribosomal RNA, 602 nt
Filed under: uncultured bacterium
Lineage: Bacteria
Description: bacterial SSU rRNA
Rfam family: Bacterial small subunit ribosomal RNA
Source: RNAcentral